CCUACGGGGGGCUGCAGUGGGGGAUAUUGCACAAUGGGGGAAACCCUGAUGCAGCGACGCCGCGUGGGCGAAGAAGUAUUUCGGUAUGUAAAGCCCUAUCAGCAGGGAAGAAGAAAUGACGGUACCUGAGUAAGAAGCACCGGCUAAAUACGUGCCAGCAGCCGCGGUCAUACGUAUGGUGCAAGCGUUAUCCGGAUUUACUGGGUGGAAAGGGAGCGCAGGCGGCACGGCAAGCCUGAUGUGAAAGCCCGCGGCCCAACCGCGGGACUGCAUUGGGAACUACCGGGCUGGAGUGCCGGAGAGGUAGGCGGAAUUCCUAGUGUAGCGGUGAAAUGCGUAGAUAUUAGGAGGAACACCAGUGGCGAAGGCGGCCUACUGGACGGUGACUGACGCUGAGGCUCGAAAGCGUGGGGAGCAAACAGGAUUAGAUACCCCUGUAGUC
This 442-nucleotide ribosomal RNA is filed under the name uncultured bacterium. RNAcentral's name for it is "partial 16S ribosomal RNA". It matches the Rfam family "Bacterial small subunit ribosomal RNA", at positions 338 to 795 of the family's 1533-position model. The record is from RNAcentral.